This 254-nucleotide ribosomal RNA is filed under the name uncultured bacterium. RNAcentral describes it as "partial 16S ribosomal RNA". It matches the Rfam family "Bacterial small subunit ribosomal RNA", at positions 524 to 776 of the family's 1533-position model. The record is from RNAcentral.
UACGUAGGCAGCAAGCGUUGUUCGGAGUUACUGGGCGUAAAGGGUGUGUAGGCGGUUAUUUAAGUUUGGUGUGAAAUCUCCCGGCUCAACCGGGAGGGUGCGCCGAAUACUGAAUGACUUGGAGUGCGGGAGAGGAAAGUGGAAUUCCUGGUGUAGCGGUGAAAUGCGUAGAUAUCAGGAGGAACACCGGUGGUGUAGACGGCUUUCUGGGCCGUAACUGACGCUGAGACACGAAAGCGUGGGUAGCAAACAGG